UGGAAAGUUCAUUGUUCGACACCAUGGAUCUCCAGGUGGGUCAAGUUUAGAGAUGCACCAACCUGGAGGACUCCAUGCUGUUGAGCUGUUCACAC
Molecule: microRNA precursor, 95 nt
Filed under: Callithrix jacchus (white-tufted-ear marmoset)
Lineage: Eukaryota; Metazoa; Chordata; Mammalia; Primates; Cebidae
Also listed under: 1 other name
Description: mir-490 microRNA precursor family
Rfam family: mir-490 microRNA precursor family
Source: Rfam by way of RNAcentral